UUCCCAGACUCCUACGGGAGGCAGCAGUGGGGAAUAUUGGGCAAUGGAGGAAACUCUUACCCAGCAAUGCCGCGUGAAUGAAGAAGGUCUUCGGAUUGUAAAGUUCUUUAAUUGGGGACGAAAAAAAUGACGGUACCCAAGGAAUAAGCACCGGCUAACUCCGUGCCAGCAGCCGCGGUAAUACGGAGGGUGCAAGCGUUACUCGGAAUCACUGGGCGUAAAGAGCGCGUAGGCGGGAUAGCAAGUCAGAUGUGAAAUCCUAUGGCUUAACCAUAGAACUGCAUUUGAAACUGUUAUUCUAGAGUAUGGGAGGGGUAGGUGGAAUUCUUGGUGUAGGGGUAAAAUCCGUAGAGAUCAAGAGGAAUACUCAUUGCGAAGGCGACCUGCUAGAACAUAACUGACGCUGAUGCGCGAAAGCGUGGGGAGCAAACAGGAUUAGAUACCCGCGUAA
This 451-nucleotide ribosomal RNA is filed under the name uncultured bacterium. RNAcentral describes it as "partial 16S ribosomal RNA". It matches the Rfam family "Bacterial small subunit ribosomal RNA", at positions 328 to 793 of the family's 1533-position model. The record is from RNAcentral.